Molecule: ribosomal RNA, 518 nt
Filed under: uncultured bacterium
Lineage: Bacteria
Description: bacterial SSU rRNA
Rfam family: Bacterial small subunit ribosomal RNA
Source: RNAcentral
AACGCUGGCGGCGUGCCUAAUACAUGCAAGUCGAACGGUCUUUCUAUGGAAGCUUGCUUCCACUGAGAAGAUAGUGGCGAAACGGGUGAGUAACACGUGGGUAACCUGCCCAUAAGAGGGGGGAUAACAUCCGGAAACGGGUGCUAAUACCGCAUAGUUUUCUUGAUCGCAUGAUCGGGAAAGGAAAGACGGCCUUUGUGCUGUCGCUUAUGGAUGGACCCGCGGCGUAUUAGUUAGCUGGUGAGGUAACGGCUCACCAAGACGAUGAUACGUAGCCGACCUGAGAGGGUGAUCGGCCACAUUGGGACUGAGACACGGCCCAAACUCCUACGGGAGGCAGCAGUAGGGAAUCUUCCGCAAUGGACGAAAGUCUGACGGAGCAACGCCGCGUGAGUGAAGAAAAGGUUUUUCGGAUCGUAAAACUCUGUUGUCAGAGAAGAACAAGUUGGAGAGUAACUGCUCCAGCCUUGACGGUAUCUGACCAGAAAGCCACGGCUAACCUACGUGCCAGCCGCGGC